CUAUUUUUUUAACGCUGUUAGCAUUGCUUUAGCGCAAACAUACAGGCCCGAAUAUUGAGCUGCACGGACAGAUUUUUAAAAAAAAAUAUUCUGAAUAAGUGAAUCUCUCAUAAUGGAUAUUUCUGGAGGUGAGUAAAUGAAAAACAUAUUUUAAGAUUUUUGUUUGAAUAUUAUUGUAAUAUUAACCCCUAGUUAUUUGGGUAUUUCAGGCCAAAAGGCCAAUAUAGGUAAAACAUGUGUAGAUAUAGCGUAUAACUGUUAAUAUUGUCUAAUGGUGUUUAGGAUCCCCGACAUUUAGAUCCCUGACAUUUACGCAGCUUUUACGCGAUUUACCGGAUCUGGAACAACAUCAGGGGGGUUCACAGGAGCAAAAGUCAGACAGGCAGUCGCCAUCUGCCUUUUUUCGUUCCGACAUACAGCCAGGAAUGAUAAAGGAUGCGUUAUGGACAUCUGACUCACCGGACUUUGAUGCAAUUCUACCGUUCUGUACGAGCGAUUUUUCAAACUCACCGCGAAUCCAGGGAACCUCGACACCCUCCCGAAAUAUUCCAGACCCCAACAGGCAAAGAGCAACAACUGUGGCCCAAGUACAUUGCUCUGAAUCAAGCCCACCCGAAAACUACUGUUGGGCAGGGAACUUGCUGCUUCACGAGCCUGCGCUCCAGGGACACGACUGCCCGGAGACAGGCCCAGCAGAAUCUGGAACGCUAGAGGGAAAAAGUCUAGAGCCCUCAUCAGGAGCAUCAAUUAGUCACAACAAGCGCCAAAAAAGCUGAGACUCCGCCCCGGCGAAAACCGGCACAAACGGCCACAUACAUCUAGAGCUGGGGAUUCCGGCGCCCCGAGCAUUCCCGAUGAAACACCCGAGAGACCUGUUUUUAAAUCAAAUCAAAUCAAAUCAAAUUUUAUUUGUCACAUACACAUGGUUAGCAGAUGUUAAAUGCGAGUGUAGCGAAAUGCUUGUGCUUCUAGUUCCGACAAUGCAGUGAUAACCAACAAGUAAUCUAACUAACAAUUCCAAAACUACUGUCUUAUACACAGUGUAAGGGGAUAAGGAACAUGUACAUAAGGAUAUAUGAAUGAGUGAUGGUACAGAGCAGCAUACAGUAGAUGGUAUUGAGUACAGUAUAUACAUAUGAGAUGAGUGUGUAGACCAGGGGUGUCAAACUCAUUUCGCAUCGUGGGCCACAUACGGCCUAGGGAGAUGUCAAGUGGGCCGGACCAUUAAAAUUAUACCAUACUCUGCUAUAAAUAACCAAAAUAUCAUGUCUUUCCUUUGUUUUGGUGUAAAGAAGCACAAGAACAUUAGGAAAAUAUUGAAAUUUAAUGAACUAUCCUUUUACAAAACAUUUCAUGAAACACCUCAUAUUUCCUUAGACAAAUGUGCAAUUUACUUUUAUCAUUCACAAAUAUGCAUUGCAACUGAUCCCACUGAUUGUACAAAGGCACAAAACUUUAAUUGGUACUGAAAAAUAUAGUAAUGCACUUUAAGAUUAAAUUAGACUUUUAAAGAAAGGAAUUUUUAAACCACUUACACAUACGCAUAUAAAAUCUAAAUGUAAUCCCUGCGUACACCUUACAAACUAAGGAGAGUGAUUUUAAAUGUGUAAUGAAGAAAGUGUUCGCCUGUCCUGUAAAUCUGUAAACUUCAUACAUGAAACAUACAUACACAUACAAUACAUACUGAAAAUGUAUGGAGUUGUAUGAACAGUAGAAUUCCAUCACACAACUUUUGUUUUGAAGCUGCUGACUAACAUUAAAGUGCACAUUUUUUAAAUCACCACAGUAAGGAUUCAUCUUCACAGAGCUGUAUUCUUUCAAUGCAAACAGUAUCUAAGGCAGCAUUUUAAAGGUGUUAGUCUAGUCUGGACUUGUAUUUGUACCUGAAACUUGGCAUCUUUUGGCCUGUACAAGUGCAUCAACACCAGGUGUCAUGUCCUGACUAGCUGUCACUUUCAGAAUGUCAUUUAAGUGCUUGUUUGUGAGCCUUGAACGCAUUUUUGUUUUAUUGAUAUUCAUCACUGAGAAAAUUUGUUCACAAAGGUAGGUUGUCCCAAACAUGCACAAAAUUUUACCAGCCAGGGCUGUUAAUUUGGGGUACCCUGGUAGUAGAUACUGAUAAAAUCAGGGCAGGGUUGCCAUUUGCCAGUUGCAUCUCCCACAAAGUCAGCUUCAACUUAAAUGCAUGUAUGUUGUCAGAAAACUGUGUGACAACUUUUUUGCGGCCUUGCAACAUUUUGUUCAGAUUGUUCAAGUGUUCAGUAAUAUCAACCAAGAAUGCAAGGUCCCGUAGCCAUUCCUGAGAUUGUAAUUCCAACACCGGUUUUCCUU
Long non-coding RNA from Oncorhynchus keta (chum salmon), 2331 nucleotides. RefSeq lists it as uncharacterized. The record is from RefSeq and is a predicted model, not a curated record. The transcript has 4 exons. NCBI's taxonomy places the organism in Eukaryota, Metazoa, Chordata, Actinopteri, Salmoniformes, Salmonidae.